AUGUGGGCAUUAUGUCAGCAAGCUAAAACAUUUUCCCCCUGUGCAUUUAAUAUAUGUCUAUGUGAUCUGAGAGAGGACUCCAGGAUUCAGAGAGAAAUAGCUGAGGGUAAGGAGAAACAUCUUGGGAUGAAGCUUGUCCUUAUGGUGAUAGUUUAAUUACAGAUUUAAAAAUUAGAAGAAAAUUUCAUUGGAUUAAGUGUAUUGCUUUCAUAUGUAUAUUUUAAGAAAUUACCAUUGUAACUUGAUAAGAGGUGAUUUAUUUUAUGCAAACAUCAUCACAAAGCAAUGUGUAGAAGCUCAGCUAGAUUUAUUACUGUGCACGAGAGUAAAUACCUAUCUCAAUUUUUCUUUUUCUUUUCCAAUAUAGAGUUUGCUGAAUGUACAAUAAGAGUUUAUCACUUAGG
This 404-nucleotide long non-coding RNA is filed under the name Marmota monax (woodchuck). Lineage: Eukaryota; Metazoa; Chordata; Mammalia; Rodentia; Sciuridae. The record is from RNAcentral.